RNAcentral lists this ribosomal RNA (327 nucleotides) under uncultured eukaryote. RNAcentral's name for it is "partial 18S ribosomal RNA". It matches the Rfam family "Eukaryotic small subunit ribosomal RNA", at positions 1470 to 1796 of the family's 1831-position model. The record is from RNAcentral.
CCCUUAGAUGUUCUGGGCCGCACGCGCGCUACACUGACGAAUGCAACGAGCUUAUAACCUUGGCCGAAAGGUCUGGGUAAUCUCCAAAUUUCGUCGUGAUGGGGAUAGAUUAUUGCAAUUAUUAAUCUUCAACGAGGAAUGCCUAGUAAGCGCAAGUCAUCAGCUUGCAUUGAUUACGUCCCUGCCCUUUGUACACACCGCCCGUCGCACCUACCGAUUGAAUGGUCCGGUGAAAUCUUCGGAUCUGAGAGAUGUCUGAUUAAUUUCGGACGCCUUUUGGAAAAGUUGCUUAAACCUUACCAUUUAGAGGAAGGUGAAGUCGUAACA